This 74-nucleotide transfer RNA is filed under the name Gemmatimonadota bacterium. Its description in RNAcentral is "Gemmatimonadetes bacterium tRNA-Gln". It matches the Rfam family "tRNA". Rfam says of the family: Transfer RNA (tRNA) molecules are approximately 80 nucleotides in length. The record is from RNAcentral. Lineage: Bacteria; Pseudomonadati; Gemmatimonadota.
UGCCCUCUCGUCCAAUGGCAGGACAGCGGACUCUGGAUCCGUCAAUCGGGGUUCGAAUCCCUGGGGGGCAGCCA